Long non-coding RNA from Leucoraja erinaceus (little skate), 2405 nucleotides. RefSeq lists it as uncharacterized. The record is from RefSeq and is a predicted model, not a curated record. The transcript has 2 exons. NCBI's taxonomy places the organism in Eukaryota, Metazoa, Chordata, Chondrichthyes, Rajiformes, Rajidae.
CAAUUUGUUGAGAUGUGAAUGAGAUACAUCUACAUCCUAGCUGCCUACCUAGCCAAAUGAUCUCACUGUAAUUGCAGCUCCAGUACCUAACAAUAACGUAGAAAUGUCUGAAGAACGGUGCCGACCUGAAACGUCAACCAGCAUUUUUCUCCAGAGAGCUGCCUGACCCGCUGAGUUACUCCAGCAUUUUGUGUCUAUCUUCAGAUAUACCAGCAACUGCGGAUCCUUUCUACACAACGUGGAAAAUUGGCCAGAUAUGAAUAUUUUCCAACAAAAAGGUUCUGAUCUAGCUACAAUAGAUGUACUGUACAAGGCAUAUAGAUUUAUAAGGUAUGUAUAUUUUAAUCAUGUUGCAUUUUUUUCAGCAGCUUACCUGCAAUGAGCUGUCCAACUGCCCUUAAAAGUGCAUAUUUUAAUGCUAGGAGCAUUGUAAGAAAGGUGGAUGAGCUUAGAGUCUGGAUAGACACCUGGAAGUAUGAUGUUGUGGCGAUCAGUGAAACGUGGUUGCAGGAGGGCUGUGAUUGGAAACUAAAUAUUCCAGGAUUUCGUUGCUUCAGGUGUGAUAGAAUUGGAGGGGCAAGAGGUGGAGGUGUUGCAUUGCUAGUCAGGGAAGAUAUUACAGCAGUGCUUUGGCAGGAUAGAUUGGAGGGCUCAUCUAGGGAGGCUAUUUGGGUGGAAUUGAGAAGUGGGAAAGGUGUAGCAACACUUAUAGGGGUGUAUUAUAGACCGCCAAACGGGGAACGAGAACUGGAAGAGCAAAUAUGUAAGGAGAUAGCAGAGAUUAGGAGUAAGCACAAGGUAGUGAUUGUGGGAGAUUUCAACUUUCCACACAUAGACUGGGAAACACAUUCUGUAAAUGGGCUGGAUGGGUUGGAGUUUGUAAAAUGUGUGCAGGAUAGUUUUUUGCAGCAAUACAUAGAGGUACCUACUAGAGGAGGGGCAGUGCUGGACCUCCUGUUAGGAAAUGAGACUGGACAGGUGGCGGAGGUAUGCGUUGGGGAGCACUUCGGGUCCAGUGAUCACAAUACCAUUAGUUUCAAUAUAACUAUGGAGAGGGUCAGAACUGGACCUAGGGUUGAGAUUUUUUGAUUGGAGAAAGGCUAACUUUGAUGCGAUGCGAGACGAUUUAAAAGGAGUGAACUGGGACAUUUUGUUUUAUGGGAAAGAUGUAGAAGAGAAAUGGAGGACAUUUAAAGGGGAAAUUUUGAGAGUAUAGAAUCUUUAUUUUCCUGUUCGGUUGAAAGGAAACAGUACAAAUUGGAGAGAGCCCUGGUUUUCAAGGGAAAUUGGACAUCUUGUUCGGAAAAAGAGGGAGAUCUACAAUAAUUAUAGGCAGCAUGAAGUAAAUGAGGUGCUUGAGGAGUAUAAGGAAUGUAAAAAGAAUCUUAAGAAAGAAAUUAGAAAAGCUAAAAGAAGAUAUGAGGUUGCUUUGGCAAGUAAGGUGAAAGUCAAUCCAAAGGGUUUCUACAGCUAUAUUAAUAGCAAAAGGAUAAGGAGGGAUAAAAUUGGUCCAUUGGAGAGACAGAGUGGACAGCUAUCUGCAGAGCCAAAAGAGAUGGGGGAGAUAUUGAACAAUUUUUUUCUUCGGUAUUCACCAAGGAGAAGGAUAUUGAAUUAUGUGAGGUAAGGGAAACUAGUAGAGUAGCUAUGGAUACUAUGAGGUUCAAAGUAAAAGAAGUACUGACACUUUUGAAAAAUAUAAAAGUGGAUAAGUCUCCAGGUCCUGACAGGAUAUUCCCUAGGACAUUGAGGGAAGUUAGUGUAGAAAUAGCCGGGGCUAUGACAGAAAUAUUUCAAAUGUCAUUAGAAACGGGAAUAGUCCCCGAGGAUUGGCGUACUGCGCAUGUUGUUCCAUUGUUUAAAAAGGGUUCUAAGAGUAAACCUAGCAAUUAUAGACCUGUUAGUUUGACUUCAGUGGUGGGCAAAUUAAUGGAAAAGAUACUUAGAGACAAUAUAUAUAAGCAUCUAGAUAAACAGGGUCUGAUUAGGAACAGUCAACAUGGAUUUGUGCCUGGAAGGUCAUGUUUGACUAAUCUUCUUGAUUUUUUGAAGAGGUUACUAGGGAAAUUGACGAGGGUAAAGCAGUGGAUGUUGUCUAUAUGGACUUUAGUAAGGCCUUUGACAAGGUUCCUCAUGGAAGGUUGGUUAAGAAGGUUCAACUGUUGGGUAUAAAUGCAGGAAUAGCAAGAUGGAUUCAACAGUGGCUGAAUGGGAGAAGCCAGAGGGUAAUGGUGGAUGGCUGUUUAUCGGGUUGGAGGCAGGUGACUAGUGGGGUGCCUCAGGGAUCUGUGUUGGGUCCUUUGUUGUUUGUCAUGUACAUCAAUGAUCUGGAUGAAGGUGUGGUAAAUUGGAUUAGUAAGUAUGCAGAUGAUACAAAGAUAGGGGGUGUUGUGGAUAAUGAAGAG